GUCAGCGACUGGGGUGAAGUCGUAACAAGGUAGCCGUAGGGGAACCUGCGGCUGGAUCACCUCCUUUCUAAGG
This 73-nucleotide ribosomal RNA is filed under the name Methylobacterium sp. DB0501. Its description in RNAcentral is "partial 16S ribosomal RNA". It matches the Rfam family "Bacterial small subunit ribosomal RNA", at positions 1467 to 1533 of the family's 1533-position model. Lineage: Bacteria; Pseudomonadati; Pseudomonadota; Alphaproteobacteria; Hyphomicrobiales; Methylobacteriaceae. The record is from RNAcentral.